RNAcentral lists this ribosomal RNA (375 nucleotides) under uncultured prokaryote. RNAcentral's name for it is "partial 16S ribosomal RNA". The record is from RNAcentral.
CCCUACGGGGUGCGAGCCCAGGAGUAGGUAUGGAAUGGAAAGGCGCUUGAAUGGGAGCGGGAAUCAUCAGCACUUGAGAGUAAAGUAAAUCACGCAAGGUCAAAAUAUCUGAAUGACCGCGCAUUGUCAAUAUACACGGGCUUCUCUUUGCCGGACGGUGCGCGCCGCCCCUGGAGGAAGCUCGGGUGCCUGAAAUGUAUAGUAAAACGGGCGGCGGCUGGGAAUCGGUCUAAUUCUGAUUCAUUUGUCGGAGACAAACUAUUGUUGUGUAAGAAAAAUGAUUACAGCCAAGCCGCCUGCGAACCCGGUGCGCUCCAUCCGCCGUUCGCGUUCCCGUAUGGACAGCUCGCCUAAUUUGCGAAUUGGCGGGGGGGC